CCUACGGGGGGCAGCAGUGAGGAAUAUUGGUCAAUGGCCGUAAGGCUGAACCAGCCAAGUCGCGUGAAGGAAGAAGGCUUUCGGGUUGUAAACUUCUUUUGACAGGGAAGAGCAGAAGACGGUACCUGUCGAAUAAGCCACGGCUAACUACGUGCCAGCAGCCGCGGUAAUACGUAGGUGGCAAGCGUUGUCCGGAUUUACUGGGUGUAAAGGGCGUGUAGCCGGGCUGACAAGUCAGAUGUGAAAUCCGGGGGCUCAACCCCCGAACUGCAUUUGAAACUGUUGGUCUUGAGUAUCGGAGAGGCAGGCGGAAUUCCUAGUGUAGCGGUGAAAUGCGUAGAUAUUAGGAGGAACACCAGUGGCGAAGGCGGCUUACUGGACUGUAACUGACGUUGAGGCUCGAAAGCGUGGGGAGCAAACAGGAUUAGAUACCCGGGUAGUC
This 442-nucleotide ribosomal RNA is filed under the name uncultured bacterium. Its description in RNAcentral is "partial 16S ribosomal RNA". It matches the Rfam family "Bacterial small subunit ribosomal RNA", at positions 338 to 795 of the family's 1533-position model. The record is from RNAcentral.